RNAcentral lists this ribosomal RNA (455 nucleotides) under Velarifictorus ornatus. RNAcentral's name for it is "partial 16S ribosomal RNA". It matches the Rfam family "Bacterial large subunit ribosomal RNA", at positions 1929 to 2597 of the family's 2925-position model. Lineage: Eukaryota; Metazoa; Arthropoda; Insecta; Orthoptera; Gryllidae. The record is from RNAcentral.
GGCCGCGGUAUUUUGACCGUGCAAAGGUAGCAUAAUCAUUAGUCUUUUAAUUGGAGGCUGGAAUGAAUGGUUUGACGAAGCAAUAACUGUCUCGGGUUAAUGAAAUUGAAUUUUAUUUUUGAGUUAAAAAGCUUAAAUGAUAAUAGGGGACGAGAAGACCCUAUAGAUCUUGAAAUGUUAUUAUGAUAAUGUAUAGGUAGUUGUAUUAGAUUAUUAUUAUAAUGAAUUUUUUGGUUGGGGUGACAGGAGAAUAGAAAAACUUCUUUAAUUUUGACUGUGAUGUUUGGUUAUAUGAUCCUAUAUUAUGGAAUUAAGAUAAAGAUACCUUAGGGAUAACAGCGUAAUUUUAUUGGAGAGUUCAUAUUGAUAAUAAAGAUUGCGACCUCGAUGUUGGAUUAAGAAUAUAAUUAGGUGCAGAAGUUUAAAUUGUUGGUCUGUUCGACCAUUAAAAUCUU